This 529-nucleotide ribosomal RNA is filed under the name uncultured bacterium. RNAcentral describes it as "bacterial SSU rRNA". It matches the Rfam family "Bacterial small subunit ribosomal RNA", at positions 16 to 518 of the family's 1533-position model. The record is from RNAcentral.
AUCCUGGCUUAGGACGAACGCUGGCGGCGUGCCUAAUACAUGCAAGUCGAACGGUCUUUCUAUGGAAGCUUGCUUCCACUGAGAAGAUAGUGGCGAACGGGUGAGUAACACGUGGGUAACCUGCCCAUAAGAGGGGGAUAACAUCCGGAAACGGGUGCUAAUACCGCAUAGUUUUCUUGAUCGCAUGAUCGGGAAAGGAAAGACGGCCUUUGUGCUGUCGCUUAUGGAUGGACCCGCGGCGUAUUAGUUAGUUGGUGAGGUAACGGCUCACCAAGACGAUGAUACGUAGCCGACCUGAGAGGGUGAUCGGCCACAUUGGGACUGAGACACGGCCCAAACUCCUACGGGAGGCAGCAGUAGGGAAUCUUCCGCAAUGGACGAAAGUCUGACGGAGCAACGCCGCGUGAGUGAAGAAAGGUUUUCGGAUCGUAAAACUCUGUUGUCAGAGAAGAACAAGUUGGAGAGUAACUGCUCCAGCCUUGACGGUAUCUGACCAGAAAGCCACGGCUAACUACGUGCCAGCAGCGGC